Molecule: long non-coding RNA, 469 nt
Organism: Astatotilapia calliptera (eastern happy)
Lineage: Eukaryota; Metazoa; Chordata; Actinopteri; Cichliformes; Cichlidae
Source: Ensembl
GAUGCAAUGAAGGAAGCAGCUUACAUUCCUUUAAUUCCCAGAGCCAGUGUGUUCCCUCCCCUGCCCACUUGGGCCCCGUAUCAGGCGAGUAUGGAAGGCUGGAUAGCCCAUGACGGGUAAGAUCCCACCUCGAAACCCUGGGACAACCUAAGGCAGGCACAGUCACGAUUACUCUCGGCUUCAGUAAGAAGACGGGUCCUGACGGAAGAUCUCGGCGACCACAGGAGGGGCGAGGAUCCUGGAGAUCUCGAGGUUCGAGACCACCAGAGAAGGGUCUGCGUGAGGACACAAUGUAUUGUGACCUCUGGUGUUCCAGAGGUCAAAAGGGGGAGUGUCGAGGAGGGAAAUUAUUUUACUGCUAUUGUUAAAUAAUUGUCAUUGCAUUAAUAAUAUAAUUUGCAGCAUGGAUAUUGCAUUCCAAGGUUUAAACAGUGUCUCUUUCAGAAAGACUGAGUUGCAGGCUGACAGG